RNAcentral lists this transfer RNA (96 nucleotides) under Entomophthora muscae. Its description in RNAcentral is "tRNA-Ile". It matches the Rfam family "tRNA". Rfam says of the family: Transfer RNA (tRNA) molecules are approximately 80 nucleotides in length. Their secondary structure includes four short double-helical elements and three loops (D, anti-codon, and T loops). The record is from RNAcentral. Lineage: Eukaryota; Fungi; Entomophthoromycota; Entomophthoromycetes; Entomophthorales; Entomophthoraceae.
GCUCCCGUAGCAAAGUGGUUAAUGCGUCGUGCUUAUAAGUUUAAAGCUUAUUCUAGAGUCACGCGAAGGUCGCGGGUUCGAUCCCCGCCGGAAGCA